This is a long non-coding RNA of Hemiscyllium ocellatum (epaulette shark), 310 nucleotides long. RefSeq lists it as uncharacterized. NCBI's taxonomy places the organism in Eukaryota, Metazoa, Chordata, Chondrichthyes, Orectolobiformes, Hemiscylliidae. The record is from RefSeq and is a predicted model, not a curated record. The transcript has 3 exons.
GGAUGUUCCUAACUCCUGUCUCAUCCAUCACCUCAUUGAAGCUGGUUGGUCAGCCAGAGAGAGAGAGAUGGAGAGGGAGAUCUGGAGCCUUCAGUAAAUCCUGCAGCCGGUCCUCAGGAAAGUGCUGACUCCAUAGACUUCCCAAUUGCUGGGUGUCUCGUCCAACACCUCAUUGAAGUUGAUUGGUCAGCCAGAGAGACAAAAGGCAGAGAGAUCUGGAGCCUUCAAUAAAUCCUGCAGUGAGGUACUCAGGAAAGUCCUGACUCAAUAGCCUUCCCAGCUGCGGGGUGGAUUAUCCAUCACCACAUUG